AGCUACACGGCAGUAACACCAGCCCGAACUCUCCCAGAAGGCGUCCUAAAAGCUGGAAUAACAAGAAGAAAAUAGGCUCGGAGUCACGAGCAGAUGGGAAGUGGAAGGUUUCAGAACCUCAACAGUCCAUCCUGUGCUCUGCAGAAACUUCAAAUUCUGGGUGGUAGGGAUAUAAUUCCCACGCGUGCAGAUCACACAGACCCUGGACACCAGGUGACCCUGGCGUUGGGAGUUAGCAAGGCGGCUGCCCUCCGCCCAGCAGGGGUCCAAUUUCCCUGUCCCCCCUGUUCUUCCUCGCCCUCUUCUGUCUGCAUAGCUGCUGACAUUCGCUUCUACUCUUGUUUUAAUGAAUUCCUUUCUCACUGUCA
Manis javanica (Malayan pangolin) is the source of this 368-nucleotide long non-coding RNA. RefSeq lists it as uncharacterized. The record is from RefSeq and is a predicted model, not a curated record. Lineage: Eukaryota; Metazoa; Chordata; Mammalia; Pholidota; Manidae.